UUUAGUGGGUUUUAAAGUAUGUUAAAAAGGUAGAGUACAGGGGCUGCUAGGUAUAGCUGGGAGACAAAAAGUGACAGGACAUAUCCAACUCCAUCUAGGCCCCCCAUAUUCCAUUCUGAAAUACAGACUUGGACAUUGAUCAACCUAAUACAAUGUUACUUAUUUAAAUUGGAGUAAGAUGAGUGAGCACUGAUUUAAAUUGAAAACCCAUCCUAUCCCCCCCUAUCAUUUACACUUAAUUAGAUUCAACCUUUUUCUCAACUGAACACAAGUCUCCCUCUCAUAACAGGGUACCUCUGCUUCCUGUACUGUACAUGAUAGGUAAUAUACCAGUUCACUACCACUCUCUCACUCCUAUAUUGGAUGCUAGCAAGAAAAGCAAGAACGAAAAUGCACAGAAGCCAUCUAGUUCCCUCGCUUCUACUCCCUCUCUCUGUCCUCUCUCUGCAGGUCUUCUACUCCCUCUCUCUGCAGGUCUUCUACUCCCUCUCUCUGUCCUCUCUCUGCAGGUCUUCUACUCCCUCUCUCUGCAGGUCUUCUACUCCCUCUCUGUCCUCUCUCUGCAGGUCUUCUACUCCCUCUCUCUGUCCUCUCUCUGCAGGUCUUCUACUCCCUCUCUCAGUCCUCUCUCUGCAGGUCUUCUACUCCCUCUCUCUGUCCUCUCUCUGCAGGUCUUCUACUCCCUCUCUCUGCAGGUCUUCUACUCCCUCUCUCUGUCCUCUCUCUGCAGGUCUUCUACUCCCUCUCUCUGUCCUCUCUCUGCAGGUCUUCUACUCCCUCUCUCUGUCCUCUCUCUGCAGGUCUUCUACUCCCUCUCUCUGCAGGUCUUCUACUCCCUCUCUCUGUCCUCUCUCUGCAGGUCUUCUACUCCCUCUCUCUGUCCUCUCUCUGCAGGUCUUCUACUCCCUCUCUCUGCAGGUCUUCUACUCCCUCUCUCUGCAGGUCUUCUACUCCCUCUCUCAGUCCUCUCUCUGCAGGUCCUCCACAGCCUCCA
Long non-coding RNA from Oncorhynchus masou masou (cherry salmon), 994 nucleotides. RefSeq lists it as uncharacterized. The record is from RefSeq and is a predicted model, not a curated record. The transcript has 5 exons. Lineage: Eukaryota; Metazoa; Chordata; Actinopteri; Salmoniformes; Salmonidae.